GCAAGUCGAGCGGUAACAGACCUUCGGGUGCUGACGAGCGGCGGACGGGUGAGUAACGGGUAGAAAACUGCCCGGUAGUGGGGGAUAGCCCAGAGAAAUUUGGAUUAAUACUGCAUACGCUCUACGGAGGAAAGCGGGCUUAGGCUCGCGCUAUCGGAUGUGUCUGCGUGGGAUUAGCUAGUUGGUGAGGUAAUGGCUCACCAAGGCGACGAUCUCUAGCUGGUCUGAGAGGGGGAUC
RNAcentral lists this ribosomal RNA (238 nucleotides) under uncultured bacterium. RNAcentral's name for it is "partial 16S ribosomal RNA". It matches the Rfam family "Bacterial small subunit ribosomal RNA", at positions 57 to 305 of the family's 1533-position model. The record is from RNAcentral.